GACGAACGCUGGCGGCGUGCUUAACACAUGCAAGUCGAACGGAAAGGCCCUGCUUGCCGGGUACUCGAGUGGCGAACGGGUGAGUAACACGUGGGUGAUCUGCCCUGCACUUCGGGAUAAGCCUGGGAAACUGGGUCUAAUACCGGAUAGGAGCCAUUUUUAGUGUGAUGGUUGGAAAGUUUUUUCGGUGUAGGAUGAGCUCGCGGCCUAUCAGCUUGUUGGUGGGGUAAUGGCCUACCAAGGCGGCGACGGGUAGCCGGCCUGAGAGGGUGGACGGCCACAUUGGGACUGAGAGACGGCCCAGACUCCUACGGGAGGCAGCAGUGGGGAAUAUUGCACAAUGGGCGCAAGCCGGAUGCAGCGACGCCGCGGGGGGGAUGACGGCCUUCGGGUUGUAAACUCCUUUCGCUAGGGACGAAGCUUUUUGUGACGGUACCUAGAUAAGAAGCACCGGCUAACUACGUG
This 465-nucleotide ribosomal RNA is filed under the name uncultured bacterium. RNAcentral describes it as "partial 16S ribosomal RNA". It matches the Rfam family "Bacterial small subunit ribosomal RNA", at positions 28 to 507 of the family's 1533-position model. The record is from RNAcentral.